UUCCACCCGAAGGGAACACUUCUCUGCGGACACAGGCUCUCUCAGACGCCUCUCCAUGGGCUAAACGAGAGCAACUCAACGCAGAGGUUUCUCCUCUAGGGUCCCUAGCGUAAAGACAUCAACCCGUGUGCACGAGCUCAAAGGAAAGCAGGGAAAUUCACAGGAAAGCUUAAUCCAUUUCCACAAAGCAAACUUACAUACGGCUUUCCCUUUCGGGAAACCCCAAGCACUUACACAACCGUGGAUUACCUUACAGGCGGAGGGCGAUUACAGCUUCUCCCUUAUUUCUAUAUUACAAUGGGAGUGAGAUGGCUACUAAUUAGGUGGAGUGGUGUGGCGGAUGCGCUCUGAGUAUUAGGCUCGGUGUCUUCUCUCCUCUUCUUCGUCCGGCGAUGAAUGCGUGCGUCUGGCUUCUCCUUUUAUAGACGGGAGGAGCCUUCAGGCUUAAGGAGGCGCUGGACACCCGGCGUCUUCAAUUAUCCUUCUUUACUGUUGCCUGGACAGCUGGACGAUAACGCUGCCUUCAAUAAUUGUACUGGCUACAGUAGAACUCACUGUUGAUUUUACUGUUUA
Molecule: long non-coding RNA, 573 nt
Organism: Panicum virgatum (switchgrass)
Lineage: Eukaryota; Viridiplantae; Streptophyta; Magnoliopsida; Poales; Poaceae
Exons: 2
Source: RefSeq, a predicted model, not a curated record